UAGGUUCCGAAGAGUUCCUGGAACUCAUCAAGAGUGCACUUCUUACAGCCCUAGAAGCCUGUUUGUGAGCUUGGUAUUCCUCCUGAAAACAUCACUGCAAACCAAUUGUUAUUUGGCACAUUGAGGGAGUACGCCGGAUUUGAUCCCACAGAGCCCACUUCACGCAGUGGGGGUAAAGCAAAAGCAGUGUAGCAAAUAAAACAGGACCAUGGCUACAAGACAAUUGUUACGAUUGGUGAUGGCGCAACUGAUCUGGAGGCUCGGCAACCUGGC
Molecule: long non-coding RNA, 273 nt
Organism: Zea mays
Lineage: Eukaryota; Viridiplantae; Streptophyta; Magnoliopsida; Poales; Poaceae
Exons: 4
Source: RefSeq, a predicted model, not a curated record